Mytilus californianus (California mussel) is the source of this 358-nucleotide long non-coding RNA. RefSeq lists it as uncharacterized. NCBI's taxonomy places the organism in Eukaryota, Metazoa, Mollusca, Bivalvia, Mytilida, Mytilidae. The transcript is spliced from 3 exons. The record is from RefSeq and is a predicted model, not a curated record.
CUGUAUACAUGUUGCAAGUUUUGAGGUCAUAGACAUGAUAGAGUUGAAAGUUUUGAUUCUUGUUGUGGGCUAUUUCUAUAAGCAGUGACAAGUUUGUUUUUUUUACAGGUCAAUUUUAUAGAAAAUAGGGUUGGAAGCUCUAUUAACACUUCAUUGCUUGUUCUUUUUUUUGUCUUGCAACAACAGUCAUGAAGCUUAUUACCAUGGUUACCAAAUGAAAGGAAAGUGCAGUAUUAGAAUCACUGGUGUACAUGUAGAUGCGGAUGUCCGGCAAAAAGAACUGGUAUCAAAAAACUGAAAAGUAAAGAAACAGAACCAAAGAACGUUAAUUUUAGAUUAAUACAAUAUUGAACUGAAA